This 765-nucleotide ribosomal RNA is filed under the name uncultured Streptococcus sp. RNAcentral describes it as "bacterial SSU rRNA". It matches the Rfam family "Bacterial small subunit ribosomal RNA", at positions 28 to 776 of the family's 1533-position model. Lineage: Bacteria; Bacillati; Bacillota; Bacilli; Lactobacillales; Streptococcaceae. The record is from RNAcentral.
GACGAACGCUGGCGGCGUGCCUAAUACAUGCAAGUAGAACGCUGAAGAGAGGAGCUUGCUCUUCUUGGAUGAGUUGCGAACGGGUGAGUAACGCGUAGGUAACCUGCCUGGUAGCGGGGGAUAACUAUUGGAAACGAUAGCUAAUACCGCAUAAAAUGGAUUAUCGCAUGAUAAUCCAUUGAAAGGUGCAAAUGCAUCACUACCAGAUGGACCUGCGUUGUAUUAGCUAGUUGGUGGGGUAACGGCUCACCAAGGCGACGAUACAUAGCCGACCUGAGAGGGUGAUCGGCCACACUGGGACUGAGGCACGGCCCAGACUCCUACGGGAGGCAGCAGUAGGGAAUCUUCGGCAAUGGACGGAAGUCUGACCGAGCAACGCCGCGUGAGUGAAGAAGGUUUUCGGAUCGUAAAGCUCUGUUGUAAGAGAAGAACGAGUGUGAGAGUGGAAAGUUCACACUGUGACGGUAUCUUACCAGAAAGGGACGGCUAACUACGUGCCAGCAGCCGCGGUAAUACGUAGGUCCCGAGCGUUGUCCGGAUUUAUUGGGCGUAAAGCGAGCGCAGGCGGUUAGAUAAGUCUGAAGUUAAAGGCUGUGGCUUAACCAUAGUACGCUUUGGAAACUGUUUAACUUGAGUGCAAGAGGGGAGAGUGGAAUUCCAUGUGUAGCGGUGAAAUGCGUAGAUAUAUGGAGGAACACCGGUGGCGAAAGCGGCUCUCUGGCUUGUAACUGACGCUGAGGCUCGAAAGCGUGGGGAGCAAACAGG